Molecule: ribosomal RNA, 753 nt
Filed under: uncultured Glomeromycotina
Lineage: Eukaryota; Fungi; Glomeromycota
Description: SSU rRNA
Rfam family: Eukaryotic small subunit ribosomal RNA
Source: RNAcentral
GGCCUACCAUGGUGGUAACGGGUAACGGGGUGUUAGGGCACGACACCGGAGAGGGAGCCUGAGAAACGGCUACCACAUCCAAGGAUGGCAGCAGGCGCGCAAAUUACCCAAUCCCGACACGGGGAGGUAGUGACAAUAAAUAACAAUACGGGGUUCUUUCGGAUCUCGUAAUUGGAAUGAGUACAAUUUAAAUCUCUUAACGAGGAACAAUUGGAGGGCAAGUCUGGUGCCAGCAGCCGCGGUAAUUCCAGCUCCAAUAGCGUAUAUUAAAGUUGUUGCAGUUAAAAAGCUCGUAGUUGAAUUUCGGGGUCAGCAGGUUGGUCGUGCCACUGGUAUGCACUGGCCUUGCUGAUCCCUCCCUCUUGAUGAGCCGUAAUGCCAUUAAUUUGGUGUUGCGGGGAAUCAGGACUGUUACUUUGAAAAAAUUAGAGUGUUUAAAGCAGGCAAGCGCUUGAAUACAUUAGCAUGGAAUAAUGAAAUAGGACGAUCGAUCCUAUUUUGUUGGUUUCUAGGAUUGACGUAAUGAUUAAUAGGGAUAGUUGGGGGCAUUAGUAUUCAAUUGUCAGAGGUGAAAUUCUUGGAUUUAUUGAAGACUAACUACUGCGAAAGCAUUUGCCAAGGAUGUUUUCAUUAAUCAAGAACGAAAGUUAGGGGAUCGAAGACGAUCAGAUACCGUCGUAGUCUUAACCAUAAACUAUGCCGACUAGGAAUCAGACGAUGUUAAUUUUUUAAUGACUCGUUUGGCACCUUACG